This 721-nucleotide ribosomal RNA is filed under the name uncultured bacterium. RNAcentral describes it as "bacterial SSU rRNA". It matches the Rfam family "Bacterial small subunit ribosomal RNA", at positions 56 to 790 of the family's 1533-position model. The record is from RNAcentral.
UGCAAGUCGAACGAGAGAGAAGGAGCUUGCUUCUUCGAUCGAGUGGCGAACGGGUGAGUAACGCGUGAGGAACCUGCCUCAAAGAGGGGGACAACAGUUGGAAGCGACUGCUAAUACCGCAUAAGCCCACGGGUCGGCAUCGACCUGAGGGAAAAGGAGUGAUCCGCUUUGAGAUGGCCUCGCGUCCGAUUAGCUAGUUGGUGAGGUAAUGGCCCACCAAGGCGACGAUCGGUAGCCGGACUGAGAGGUUGAACGGCCACAUUGGGACUGAGACACGGCCCAGACUCCUACGGGAGGCAGCAGUGGGGAAUAUUGCACAAUGGGGGAAACCCUGAUGCAGCGACGCCGCGUGGAGGAAGAAGGUCUUCGGAUUGUAAACUCCUGUUGUUGAGGAAGAUAAUGACGGUACUCAACAAGGAAGUGACGGCUAACUACGUGCCAGCAGCCGCGGUAAAACGUAGGUCACAAGCGUUGUCCGGAAUUACUGGGUGUAAAGGGAGCGCAGGCGGGAAGACAAGUUGGAAGUGAAAUCUAUGGGCUCAACCCAUAAACUGCUUUCAAAACUGUUUUUCUUGAGUAGUGCAGAGGUAGGCGGAAUUCCCGGUGUAGCGGUGGAAUGCGUAGAUAUCGGGAGGAACACCAGUGGCGAAGGCGGCCUACUGGGCACCAACUGACGCUGAGGCUCGAAAGUGUGGGUAGCAAACAGGAUUAGAUACCCUGG